CCUACGGGUGGCAGCAGUGGGGAAUAUUGCACAAUGGGGGGAACCCUGAUGCAGCGACGCCGCGUGGGUGAGGAAGUACUUCGGUAUGUAAAGCCCUAUCAGCAGGGAAGAAAAUGACGGUACCUGACUAAGAAGCCCCGGCUAACUACGUGCCAGCAGCCGCGGUAAUACGUAGGGGGCAAGCGUGAUCCGGAUUUAUUGGGUUUAAAGGGUGCGUAGGCGGACGCUUAAGUCAGCGGUAAAAUUGCGGGGCUCAACCUCGUCGAACCGUUGAAACUGGGUGCCUUGAGUGGGCGAGAAGUACGCGGAAUGCGUGGUGUAGCGGUGAAAUGCAUAGAUAUCACGCAGAACUCCGAUUGCGAAGGCAGCGUACCGGCGCCCAACUGACGCUGAAGCACGAAGGCGUGGGUAUCGAACAGGAUUAGAUACCCUUGUAGUC
Molecule: ribosomal RNA, 439 nt
Filed under: uncultured bacterium
Lineage: Bacteria
Description: partial 16S ribosomal RNA
Rfam family: Bacterial small subunit ribosomal RNA
Source: RNAcentral